CCUACACACAGGGAUGCAACACCGUCAGCUGCAGUGCACACAUCUGGAAGAAGAAACAGAGAUUUUUCUGCCUCAUUAAAUCCAAGGACCCGGGGACAAACUCUCCAGCAAUUGGCACAUGAAAAGGCUUUUCUCCGGAUUGUAGCCCGGGAGGCAGGCCAACGUGACAGCAGGGAAACAAAAGAAAACUUCUGGACCUCCCGUUGAGCGGAGCUUCUCUUACUGAAGCUGGAAAUCAUAACGUCAAGCAAAUGUGGGAGUUACUAUAGAUAUCUAGUCAUCUGAAUUUGACUCCCUUGUCUUAGACGUUUGCAUCAGGCUGCAUGAAGACAGAUGACAGACGGCCUCUUUCUAGGAGUACCACCAUGAAAUGACUUUGUUAUUGUCCUUUGUGUCAGACAAGCGUUAAUUCCCCCACUGUCGGCAUUUGUCUCCCAGCCUCUUUAUCAGCCUGCAGAUAAUACGCCCUCUAGAGACAUACAAGAAAACUGCAGGAACUUUGAUUACACUACUUCUUAUAAUGAGGCCUUUAAGUCAUUAAGCCCUCUGGGUUCAAUUAUGAUGGCAGUGGGAGAAAACAAUAAUGACUUUGUAUCAUUAAGAUGACACUCUCUCUGAAAGUGACUCUGUUUUGAAUGUUUUUUGAUACAAAACAAUGGAAUAAACAAUAAAAAGGCAGCAUGUGUUUGCCAACUGCAG
Hippoglossus stenolepis (Pacific halibut) is the source of this 699-nucleotide long non-coding RNA. RefSeq lists it as uncharacterized. NCBI's taxonomy places the organism in Eukaryota, Metazoa, Chordata, Actinopteri, Pleuronectiformes, Pleuronectidae. The record is from RefSeq and is a predicted model, not a curated record. The transcript is spliced from 2 exons.